GACGAACGCUGGCGGUGGGCUUAACACAUGCAAGUCGAACGGUGAAGCUCUAGGUUGCUGCACUGAAGGAGGGGCGGACGGGGAAGUAAGACGUGAGCAACGGGCCCCUCUUUUUGGUAGAAGCGCUGGAAAGGGCGUCUAAGACUGGAUACGAUACGGCCUCCCAGGGGCACCUUGUGGUAUUUGUUUCGGUCGGGGAUGGGUGCGCGGCCGAUCGGCUUGUUGGUGGGGUAAUGGCUCACCAAGGCGGCGACGGGUAGCCGGCCCGAGAGGGCGGACGGCGACACUGGGCCUGCGGCACGGACCAGACUCCAACGGGAGGCAGCGGUGGGGAAUCUUGCACAAUGGGCGCACGCCUGAUGAAGCGACGCCGCGUGAGGGAUGACGGCCUUCGGGUUGUAAAAAUCUUUCAGCAGGGACGACGCGAUAGUGACGGUACCUGAAGAAGAAGCACCGGCUAACUACGUG
RNAcentral lists this ribosomal RNA (468 nucleotides) under uncultured bacterium. RNAcentral describes it as "partial 16S ribosomal RNA". It matches the Rfam family "Bacterial small subunit ribosomal RNA", at positions 28 to 507 of the family's 1533-position model. The record is from RNAcentral.